ACUGAGCAAGAAAAGAUUCGUCGUCGUCAAGAAGGAUUAUGUUUAUAUUGCGGAGAACCUAAGCACACUGCUCAACAUUUUCCAAAGAAACGACGCAACUUUAAAAUGAGGGGUACGACGGUCAAAGAAGACAACAUGUCAGAAAACGGAUUCGUCCAGCUACAAUAGGGACCGUGCAGCUGGAACCUUGUACAAUUCCUAAUGAAGGUCCUAUCCUCUCCUCAGAACCC
RNAcentral lists this long non-coding RNA (230 nucleotides) under Physcomitrium patens. RNAcentral's name for it is "long non-coding RNA (PPAT_LNC010539)". The record is from RNAcentral. Lineage: Eukaryota; Viridiplantae; Streptophyta; Bryopsida; Funariales; Funariaceae.